GAUGAACGCUGGCGGCGUGCCUAAUACAUGCAAGUCGAGCGAACGGACGAGAAGCUUGCUUCUCUGAUGUUAGCGGCGGACGGGUGAGUAACACGUGGAUAACCUACCUAUAAGACUGGGAUAACUUCGGGAAACCGGAGCUAAUACCGGAUAAUAUUUUGAACCGCAUGGUUCAAAAGUGAAAGACGGUCUUGCUGUCACUUAUAGAUGGAUCCGCGCUGCAUUAGCUAGUUGGUAAGGUAACGGCUUACCAAGGCAACGAUGCAUAGCCGACCUGAGAGGGUGAUCGGCCACACUGGAACUGAGACACGGUCCAGACUCCUACGGGAGGCAGCAGUAGGGAAUCUUCCGCAAUGGGCGAAAGCCUGACGGAGCAACGCCGCGUGAGUGAUGAAGGUCUUCGGAUCGUAAAACUCUGUUAUUAGGGAAGAACAUAUGUGUAAGUAACUGUGCACAUCUUGACGGUACCUAAUCAGAAAGCCACGGCUAACUACGUGCCAGCAGCCGCGGUAAUACGUAGGUGGCAAGCGUUAUCCGGAAUUAUUGGGCGUAAAGCGCGCGUAGGCGGUUUUUUAAGUCUGAUGUGAAAGCCCACGGCUCAACCGUGGAGGGUCAUUGGAAACUGGAAAACUUGAGUGCAGAAGAGGAAAGUGGAAUUCCAUGUGUAGCGGUGAAAUGCGCAGAGAUAUGGAGGAACACCAGUGGCGAAGGCGACUUUCUGGUCUGUAACUGACGCUGAUGUGCGAAAGCGUGGGGAUCAAACAGGAUUAGAUACCCUGGUAGUCCACGCCGUAAACGAUGAGUGCUAAGUGUUAGGGGGUUUCCGCCCCUUAGUGCUGCAGCUAACGCAUUAAGCACUCCGCCUGGGGAGUACGACCGCAAGGUUGAAACUCAAAGGAAUUGACGGGGACCCGCACAAGCGGUGGAGCAUGUGGUUUAAUUCGAAGCAACGCGAAGAACCUUACCAAAUCUUGACACCCUUUGACAACUCUAGAGAUAGAGCUUUCCCCUUCGGGGGACAAAGUGACAGGUGGUGCAUGGUUGUCGUCAGCUCGUGUCGUGAGAUGUUGGGUUAAGUCCCGCAACGAGCGCAACCCUUAAGCUUAGUUGCCAUCAUUAAGUUGGGCACUCUAAGUUGACUGCCGGUGACAAACCGGAGGAAGGUGGGGAUGACGUCAAAUCAUCAUGCCCCUUAUGAUUUGGGCUACACACGUGCUACAAUGGACAAUACAAAGGGCAGCGAAACCGCGAGGUCAAGCAAAUCCCAUAAAGUUGUUCUCAGUUCGGAUUGUAGUCUGCAACUCGACUACAUGAAGCUGGAAUCGCUAGUAAUCGUAGAUCAGCAUGCUACGGUGAAUACGUUCCCGGGUCU
RNAcentral lists this ribosomal RNA (1372 nucleotides) under uncultured bacterium. RNAcentral describes it as "bacterial SSU rRNA". It matches the Rfam family "Bacterial small subunit ribosomal RNA", at positions 28 to 1381 of the family's 1533-position model. The record is from RNAcentral.